Molecule: ribosomal RNA, 753 nt
Filed under: uncultured Glomus
Lineage: Eukaryota; Fungi; Glomeromycota; Glomeromycetes; Glomerales; Glomeraceae
Description: SSU rRNA
Rfam family: Eukaryotic small subunit ribosomal RNA
Source: RNAcentral
GGCCUACCAUGGUGGUAACGGGUAACGGGGUGUUAGGGCACGACACCGGAGAGGGAGCCUGAGAAACGGCUACCACAUCCAAGGAUGGCAGCAGGCGCGCAAAUUACCCAAUCCCGACACGGGGAGGUAGUGACAAUAAAUAACAAUACGGGGUUCUUUCGGAUCUCGUAAUUGGAAUGAGUACAAUUUAAAUCUCUUAACGAGGAACAAUUGGAGGGCAAGUCUGGUGCCAGCAGCCGCGGUAAUUCCAGCUCCAAUAGCGUAUAUUAAAGUUGUUGCAGUUAAAAAGCUCGUAGUUGAAUUUCGGGGUUAGCAGGUCGGUCGUGCCAUCGGUAUGAACUGGCCUCGCUGAUCCCUCCCUCUUGACGAACUGUGAUGCCAUUAAUUUGGUGUCGCAGGGAAUCAGGACUGUUACUUUGAAAAAAUUAGAGUGUUUAAAGCAGGCUCACGCUUGAAUACAUUAGCAUGGAAUAAUGAAAUAGGACGUUUGAUCCUAUUUUGUUGGUUUCUAGGAUUGACGUAAUGAUUAAUAGGGAUAGUUGGGGGCAUUAGUAUUCAAUUGUCAGAGGUGAAAUUCUUGGAUUUAUUGAAGACUAACUACUGCGAAAGCAUUUGCCAAGGAUGUUUUCAUUAAUCAAGAACGAAAGUUAGGGGAUCGAAGACGAUCAGAUACCGUCGUAGUCUUAACCAUAAACUAUGCCGACUAGGGAUCGGAUGAUGUUAAUUUUUUAAUGACUCAUUCGGCGCCUUACG